Long non-coding RNA from Xenopus laevis (African clawed frog), 1165 nucleotides. RefSeq lists it as uncharacterized. The transcript has 2 exons. Lineage: Eukaryota; Metazoa; Chordata; Amphibia; Anura; Pipidae. The record is from RefSeq and is a predicted model, not a curated record.
AUUUGAUCCUCUUUCAACCUGACAUCCCUUUUAUACCGAUUUGUUUAGAAACCUAACCCAUGGUUCCCAAAUUUCCCAGUAUUUAACACUCCUAUUAUGAAUAAUAUGUGUUAUUUCUUCCAUCUUCCUAGUAUCCUCUACUACCUGCUGCCACUCCAUGCAGCUGGGGGGAGCUGACUCCUUCCAGUGUCUUGGGAUUAUUGACCUAGCCGCGUCCAGCAAAUGUAAGGUAUAAACCCAGCCUGAUCAUCAUGAAUUAAAUCCGGUAAGUAUCUUUUCAGUCUGUUUGCUAUUAUUUUAGCGUAUAUUUUUAAAUCUGUGUUUAUUAGGGAUAUUGGCCUAUAGCUUUCACAGAGCUGGGGAUCUUUCCCCUCUUUUGGGAUAAUAGUAAUGUUAGCUUCUUUUGCCUGUUUAUGAAACCCAUGAGUUCGAUCAAUAGUAUUGUAAUAGGAACACAUCAAGGGUAUUAGUUCUAUUUUAUACAUUUUGUAGUACAAUGCACUGAAACCAUCCGGACCCGGACUCUUUUCCACUGCCAAUGAAUCUAUAGUGUCACUUAUUUCUUGAGGUGUAAAAGGUAAGUCUGUCUUUCACUCUUAAAGAUGGUAAUUGGGCUUCCUCUAUAAAUUUAUCCAUUUCCUCUAAUUUAUCUUUUUGGUCAUACCCUUCCUGUAGUCUAUAUAAUGUUUGAUAGUAUUGCUGAAAUGUUUUGGCAAUAUUAUGUGUAUCAUAAUAAAUCUUUUGGUCCUUACCUUUUAUUGAUGUAAUAUGCGUAGCCCUGUUCAUUUUUUUUCAAUCUUUGGGCAAAAUAUUGAUUACAUUUAUCCCCCAGUUCAUAUCCCUUCUGUUUACUAUUCAUAUAUGCUUUGUAUGAGCCCUGGUCAAGUAUUGCUUUCAGUUGUAUUCUUUUCUUUUCAAGUUGUUCUAAUAUGUCUUCUGUCAUUUUUGUUUUAUGUAUCUGUUCCAAUUUAGAAAUCUCUUUAAUUAAACUGUUAAUUGGUUUCUCUUUUUCCUUAUCAACUGGCCUCUAAGCACACAUAUCUUAGUUUCCCAUAAUGCCGCCAAACUAACAUCUGGUCCUGAAUUCUCUUUGAGUAUUUGUUGUAGCAUAUCCCUGAUUUUAUUCUUUGUGUCUUUUCUGUGUAAUAAUAAAUUGUUGAACCUC